RNAcentral lists this ribosomal RNA (464 nucleotides) under uncultured Thiobacillus sp. Its description in RNAcentral is "bacterial SSU rRNA". It matches the Rfam family "Bacterial small subunit ribosomal RNA", at positions 910 to 1382 of the family's 1533-position model. The record is from RNAcentral. Lineage: Bacteria; Pseudomonadati; Pseudomonadota; Betaproteobacteria; Nitrosomonadales; Thiobacillaceae.
UUGACGGGACCCGCACAAGCGGUGGAUGAUGUGGAUUAAUUCGAUGCAACGCGAAAACCUUACUACCCUUGACAUGUCCGGAAUCCCGAAGAGAUUUGGGAGUGCUCGCAAGAGAACCGGAACACAGGUGCUGCAUGGCUGUCGUCAGCUCGUGUCGUGAGAUGUUGGGUUAAGUCCCGCAACGAGCGCAACCCUUAUCAUUAGUUGCUACGCAAGGGCACUCUAAUGAGACUGCCGGUGACAAACCGGAGGAAGUGGGGAUGACGUCAAGUCCUCAUGGCCCUUAUGGGUAGGGCUUCACACGUCAUACAAUGGUCGGUACAGAGGGUUGCCAAGCCGCGAGGCGGAGCCAAUCCCACAAAGCCGAUCGUAGUCCGGAUUGUUCUCUGCAACUCGAGAGCAUGAAGUCGGAAUCGCUAGUAAUCGCAGGUCAGCAUACUGCGGUGAAUACGUUCCCGGGUCUU